AAGUCGUAACAAGGUUUCCGUAGGUGAACCUGCGGAAGGAUCAUUACCGAUUUUUAGCGGACCUGUUCUUUGAUCAUGGUCUCGCGAAAACUUAUUUAAAACCCCACUCUUAUAAAUUGAAUCAUUUUAUAUGUAUAUAAUAAAUAAAGAUCACUUUCAACAACGGAUCUCUUGGCUCUC
This 180-nucleotide unclassified non-coding RNA is filed under the name Rhizophagus sp. (in: glomeromycetes). RNAcentral describes it as "Rhizophagus sp. (in: Fungi) partial internal transcribed spacer region". The stretch from base 1 to 46 matches the Rfam family "Eukaryotic small subunit ribosomal RNA", at positions 1786 to 1831 of the family's 1831-position model. The record is from RNAcentral. Lineage: Eukaryota; Fungi; Glomeromycota; Glomeromycetes; Glomerales; Glomeraceae.